GCGUUCUGUAAGCCUGUGAAGGUGGCCUGUGAGGGUUGCUGGAGGUAUCAGAAGUGCGAAUGCUGACAUAAGUAACGAUAAAGCGGGUGAAAAGCCCGCUCGCCGGAAGACCAAGGGUUCCUGUCCAACGUUAAUCGGGGCAGGGUGAGUCGACCCCUAAGGCGAGGCCGAAAGGCGUAGUCGAUGGGAAACAGGUUAAUAUUCCUGUACUUGGUGUUACUGCGAAGGGGGGACGGAGAAGGCUAUGUUGGCCGGGCGACGGUUGUCCCGGUUUAAGCGUGUAGGCUGGUUUUCCAGGCAAAUCCGGAAAACCAAGGCUGAGGCGUGAUGACGAGGCACUACGGUGCUGAAGCGACAAAUGCCCUGCUUCCAGGAAAAGCCUCUAAGCAUCAGGUAACAUCAAAUCGUACCCCAAACCGACACAGGUGGUCAGGUAGAGAAUACCAAGGCGCUUGAGAGAACUCGGGUGAAGGAACUAGGCAAAAUGGUGCCGUAACUUCGGGAGAAGGCACGCUGAUAUGUAGGUGAAGCGACUUGCUCGUGGAGCUGAAAUCAGUCGAAGAUACCAGCUGGCUGCAACUGUUUAUUAAAAACACAGCACUGUGCAAACACGA
RNAcentral lists this ribosomal RNA (614 nucleotides) under Escherichia coli. Its description in RNAcentral is "partial 23S ribosomal RNA". It matches the Rfam family "Bacterial large subunit ribosomal RNA", at positions 1236 to 1834 of the family's 2925-position model. The record is from RNAcentral. Lineage: Bacteria; Pseudomonadati; Pseudomonadota; Gammaproteobacteria; Enterobacterales; Enterobacteriaceae.